AUUGAACGCUCGCGGGAUGCUUUACACAUGCAAGUCGAACGGCAGCGCGGACUUCGUUCUUGCGGCGAGUGGCGAACGGGUGAGUAAUGGAUCGGAACGUGCCCAGUAGCGGGGGAUAACUACUCGAAAGCGUAGCUAAUACCGCAUACGCCCUACGGGGGAAAGCAGGGGAUCGUAAGACCUGACACUAUUUGAGCGUCCGAUAUCGGAUUAGCUAGUUGGUGAGGUAACGGCUCACCAAGGCGACGAUCCGUAGCUGGUUUGAGAGGACGACCAGCCACACUGCGCUUGAGACACGGCACAGACCCCACUGGGACGCAGCAGUGCGGAAUGUUGGACAAUGGAGGCAACCCUGACCUAGCCAUCCCGAGUGUGCGAUGAAGGGCUUCGGGUUGUAAAGCAAUUCUGGCAGGAAAGAAACGUAGCGGGCUAAUCCCCUGUGGAACUGACGGUACCUGAAGAAUAAGCACCGGCUAACUCCGUG
This 484-nucleotide ribosomal RNA is filed under the name uncultured bacterium. RNAcentral describes it as "partial 16S ribosomal RNA". It matches the Rfam family "Bacterial small subunit ribosomal RNA", at positions 30 to 507 of the family's 1533-position model. The record is from RNAcentral.